UACGAAGGGGGCUAGCGUUGUUCGGAAUCACUGGGCGUAAAGCACACGUAGGCGGAUUGUUAAGUCGGGGGUGAAAUCCUGAGGCUCAACCUCAGAACUGCCUUCGAUACUGGCGAUCUUGAGUUCGGAAGAGGUUGGUGGAACAGCUAGUGUAGAGGUGAAAUUCGUAGAUAUUAGCUAGAACACCAGUGGCGAAGGCGGCCAACUGGUCCGACACUGACGCUGAGGUGCGAAAGCGUGGGGAGCAA
Molecule: ribosomal RNA, 248 nt
Filed under: uncultured bacterium
Lineage: Bacteria
Description: partial 16S ribosomal RNA
Rfam family: Bacterial small subunit ribosomal RNA
Source: RNAcentral